Molecule: long non-coding RNA, 696 nt
Filed under: Chinchilla lanigera (long-tailed chinchilla)
Lineage: Eukaryota; Metazoa; Chordata; Mammalia; Rodentia; Chinchillidae
Description: lncRNA (ENSCLAG00000024263.1)
Source: RNAcentral
CCAGUGGGUUAGACAGGGCCAGAGACAAAGCUGGAGAAGAAUAAAGGAAGAGGAAGAAGGGCAGACACUAGGGGGAGAAACGAGGCACAAUUCUCAUUUCUGAGAACUGAUGGGCACUGCUGGGUGAUACGGCAAUGCAGAGCUCUGACUGUGCAUGGGUCUACCGGGCAGGAGUGUAGCCUCGAGGGGACACCUACAAAGUGAGGUUUUGCUCACCCUGUUGUGCUCCAUGAAUCAGGGGUCAAAUACAUGCAUUUAUGCUUCUCACUGAAACACCGAAAAAGCGCAUGAGAUAUUACGAUUCUUCUUGACGUCAUACUUGGCUGAUUUUGCAAGCACGCAUCAGUAAUUACAUUCAUAGGGAGAUGCGCCAACAAGAUCAAAUAACUGAUGGGCUGGGUGGGAAGGGGGAGAAGACAGCAAGAGGGCUGGAAGAGUUGUGAAGACAGGAAAACAGACUGUGACAUCAACCAUUAUGAUGACAGUGUCCUGCAAAAGCCGCUGUCCCCUCUCUUUUCCAUAACGCCAACCAUUCUUUCCAGAGAUGGAGAUCAUCAGCUCUGCUGGCGGCAUACAAGCCUAUCUGGGGAUGCUCCUUUGUUUUCUCACGUUGAAUUCUCCACAAAGGAUGAUGAGGCUCAGCAGUACUCAACUUUAACAAGUAAAAGUGCCCUAAGUGAGGGGCAGGAGCAGUGA